GAUGAAGAACGCAGCGAAAUGCGAUAAGUAAUGUGAAUUGCAGAAUUCAGUGAAUCAUCGAAUCUUUGAACGCACAUUGCGCCCAUUAGCAUUCUAGUGGGCAUGCCUGUUCGAGCGUCAUUUCAACCCUUAAGCCCUGUUGCUUAGCGUUGGGAGCCUACAGUACUGUAGCUCCCCAAAGUUAGUGGCGGAGUCGGUUUCACACUCUAGACGUAGUAAUUUUUUCUCGUCUGUAGUUGAGCCGGUCCCCUGCCGUAAAACACCCCAUUUAUCAAGGUUGACCUCGGAUCAGGUAGGAAUACCCGCUGAACUUAAGCAUAUCAAUAAGCGGAGGA
This 335-nucleotide unclassified non-coding RNA is filed under the name soil metagenome. RNAcentral's name for it is "partial contains 5.8S ribosomal RNA, internal transcribed spacer 2, and large subunit ribosomal RNA". The stretch from base 1 to 120 matches the Rfam family "5.8S ribosomal RNA", at positions 35 to 154 of the family's 154-position model. The record is from RNAcentral.